This is a long non-coding RNA of Bombus pascuorum, 859 nucleotides long. RefSeq lists it as uncharacterized. Lineage: Eukaryota; Metazoa; Arthropoda; Insecta; Hymenoptera; Apidae. The record is from RefSeq and is a predicted model, not a curated record. The transcript has 2 exons.
UCGAUGUAUAUAAAACAAUAUGUUAUAGAAAUCGAUAUCAUUCAAGACAUGAUUUAACAAAUUUUAUACAAUAAGUAUUAUUAGAGUACUAUAACAGUGUAGAUUUUAAAAUAAUUCACAGUAAAACAAUUCUUCAAUAAUCAUAUAAAGCUCCUACUUAAAUUAUUAAUCUAUGUAUUUGUGUGUAAGAGAGAGAGAGAGAGAGAGAGAGAGAGAGAGAGAUUAAACUUGAGUUAUAGCAAUCUAUAUGGGAUUCUCUUUUUGAACAGAUUUCCUUCACCAUAUUAUUUCAGAAAUUCCGUCGUUAUACUAUUGGUAAUAAAAAAUUUAUGUCAUUUCCAGUCAUUGAUAUAAUAUGACGUAUGCGCGCCAUGCUACUACGUCAUGUAGAUCCAGUUACAUAAAAUCUUUGGCAAAGGUAUGAUUAAUCAUUGACCCAUGACUCUGUAAAUAUGUAUCUAAUAUUAUUGUAUUCCAUAAACAGCUACUCGCCAUUUGUCAUUUUUUACAUAAUUUUGAUUUCUUCCAGUAUGAGCAUUCGGAAGCGAUCUUGCUCGUAAAAUGCACCUGGUCGACAUUAUUUUGAUACAAUAAUCAUGCAUGUUUCAACCAACACUAUCCCCCAUUACUAUUGUUUCUGUUUCAUGUUCUAUGUGUUCCGAUUCUUCAUUUGUCUCAGAUUCACCACGUGCAUCCACAAAUUCCUGUGAACAGAUUAAUAUUAAAUUUAACAUAAAUAGUCUAAGGAGAAGUUAGAAAUGCGAUUAAUUUACUAGUACGUUAAAUUAAGAUCCUUACAUCACGAGUGGGAUCGUCAAUACUGCUAUCUGCAUUUAAAACUUCACCUAAAAACCCCCCC